UAGAGUUUGAUCAUGGCUCAGGAUGAACACUAGCGGCAGGCUUAACACAUGCAAGUCGAAGGGCAUCGCGGGGAGUGCUUGCACUCCCUGGCGGCGACUGGCGCACGGGUGAGUAACACGUAUGCAACCUGCCCUCCACAGGGGGACAACCUUCCGAAAGGGAGGCUAAUCCCGCGUAAAUCUCGAUGGGGCAUCCCAUUGAGAGGAAAGCUUCGGCGGUGGAGGAUGGGCAUGCGGCGCAUUAGCUAGUCGGCGGGGUAACGGCCCACCGAGGCGACGAUGCGUAGGGGUUCUGAGAGGAAGGUCCCCCACACUGGUACUGAGACACGGACCAGACUCCUACGGGAGGCAGCAGUGAGGAAUAUUGGUCAAUGGGCGCGAGCCUGAACCAGCCAAGUCGCGUGAGGGAAGACGGUCCUAUGGAUUGUAAACCUCUUUUGUCGGGGAGCAAAAGACGCCACGCGUGGCGUUCCGAGAGUACCCGAAGAAAAAGCAUCGGCUAACUCCGUGCCAGCAGCCGCGGUAAUACGGAGGAUGCGAGCGUUAUCCGGAUUUAUUGGGUUUAAAGGGUGCGCAGGCGGAAGAUCAAGUCAGCGGUAAAAUUGAGAGGCUCAACCUCUUCGAGCCGUUGAAACUGGUUUUCUUGAGUGAGCGAGAAGUAUGCGGAAUGCGUGGUGUAGCGGUGAAAUGCAUAGAUAUCACGCAGAACUCCGAUUGCGAAGGCAGCAUACCGGCGCUCAACUGACGCUCAUGCACGAAAGUGUGGGUAUCGAACAGGAUUAGAUACCCUGGUAGUCCACACAGUAAACGAUGAAUACUAAUUGUUCGGGGAGAAUGAUCCCUGAGUGAUACAGCGAAAGCGUUAAGUAUUCCACCUGGGGAGUACGCCGGCAACGGUGAAACUCAAAGGAAUUGACGGGGGCCCGCACAAGCGGAGGAACAUGUGGUUUAAUUCGAUGAUACGCGAGGAACCUUACCCGGGCUCAAACGACACAGGAAUACUUUUGAAAGGAAGUAGCUCUACGGAGCCUGUGUCGAGGUGCUGCAUGGUUGUCGUCAGCUCGUGCCGUGAGGUGUCGGCUUAAGUGCCAUAACGAGCGCAACCCCCAUCGCCAGUUACCAGCAAGUCAAGUUGGGGACUCUGGCGAGACUGCCGGCGCAAGCUGUGAGGAAGGCGGGGAUGACGUCAAAUCAGCACGGCCCUUACGUCCGGGGCGACACACGUGUUACAAUGGCAGGUACAGAGAGAAGCAAUGCGGCGACGCAAAGCGGAACUUGAAAGCCUGUCUCAGUUCGGAUUGGAGUCUGCAACUCGACUCCAUGAAGCUGGAUUCGCUAGUAAUCGCGCAUCAGCCAUGGCGCGGUGAAUACGUUCCCGGGCCUUGUACACACCGCCCGUCAAGCCAUGGAAGCCGGGAGUGCCUGAAGUGUGCAACCGCAAGGAGCGCCCUAAGGUAAAACUGGUGACUGGGGCUAAGUCGUAACAAGGUAGCCGUA
Molecule: ribosomal RNA, 1497 nt
Filed under: uncultured bacterium
Lineage: Bacteria
Description: 16S ribosomal RNA
Rfam family: Bacterial small subunit ribosomal RNA
Source: RNAcentral